Molecule: ribosomal RNA, 919 nt
Filed under: Rhizobium sp. BK049
Lineage: Bacteria; Pseudomonadati; Pseudomonadota; Alphaproteobacteria; Hyphomicrobiales; Rhizobiaceae
Description: partial 23S ribosomal RNA
Rfam family: Bacterial large subunit ribosomal RNA
Source: RNAcentral
GAUUAAGUGUCGUAAGGGCAUUUGGUGGAUGCCUUGGCAUGCACAGGCGAUGAAGGACGUGAUACGCUGCGAAAAGCCGUGGGGAGCUGCGAAUGAGCUUUGAUCCAUGGAUCUCCGAAUGGGGCAACCCACCUUAAAUGCUUGGAAAAUCAUUCUGGUUGUCGGGUCUUCGACCCGACGUUACGGCGAACGAUCGCCGACGGCCUCUGGCCUGUAUGGGAACUUCCCGAUACAGCGCAGAGCGCGUCGCCGGUCGUCCGGCGCGCCCACGCAGCGCUGCACGAAGUGCAGAACAAGCGUGAGUGAAAACCCGAAUGGUUUCCAAGCAUUGUUAUAAGGUAUCUGCACCUGAAUACAUAGGGUGUAAGAAGCGAACGCAGGGAACUGAAACAUCUAAGUACCUGCAGGAAAGGACAUCAACCGAGACUCCGCAAGUAGUGGCGAGCGAACGCGGACCAGGCCAGUGGCAAUUGUGAUUAAAGUGGAACGCUCUGGAAAGUGCGGCCGUAGUGGGUGACAGCCCCGUACGCGUAGAUAUCACGAUUGUCCUAGAGUAGGGCGGGACACGAGAAAUCCUGUCUGAACAUGGGGAGACCACUCUCCAAGCCUAAGUACUCGUGCAUGACCGAUAGCGAACAAGUACCGUGAGGGAAAGGUGAAAAGCACCCCGACAAGGGGAGUGAAAUAGAACCUGAAACCGGAUGCCUACAAACAGUCGGAGCCUGAAAGGGUGACGGCGUACCUUUUGUAUAAUGGGUCAACGACUUAGUGUAACAAGCAAGCUUAAGCCGGUAGGUGUAGGCGCAGCGAAAGCGAGUCUGAACAGGGCGAUAUAGUUUGUUGCAUUAGACCCGAAACCGAGUGAUCUAGCCAUGAGCAGGUUGAAGGUUGGGUAACACCAACUGGAGGACCGAACCCG